UACGUAGGGUGCAAGCGUUGUCCGGAAUUAUUGGGCGUAAAGAGCUCGUAGGCGGUCUGUCGCGUCGGCUGUGAAAUCCCGGAGCUCAACUCCGGGUCUGCAGUCGAUACGGGCGGACUUGAGUACUGCAGGGGAGACUGGAAUUCCUGGUGUAGCGGUGAAAUGCGCAGAUAUCAGGAGGAACACCGGUGGCGAAGGCGGGUCUCUGGGCAGUAACUGACGCUGAGGAGCGAAAGCGUGGGGAGCGAACAGG
Molecule: ribosomal RNA, 253 nt
Filed under: uncultured bacterium
Lineage: Bacteria
Description: partial 16S ribosomal RNA
Rfam family: Bacterial small subunit ribosomal RNA
Source: RNAcentral